Molecule: transfer RNA, 75 nt
Filed under: Caudoviricetes sp.
Lineage: Duplodnaviria; Heunggongvirae; Uroviricota; Caudoviricetes
Description: tRNA-Asn
Rfam family: tRNA
About the family: Transfer RNA (tRNA) molecules are approximately 80 nucleotides in length. Their secondary structure includes four short double-helical elements and three loops (D, anti-codon, and T loops). Further hydrogen bonds mediate the characteristic L-shaped molecular structure. tRNAs have two regions of fundamental functional importance: the anti-codon, which is responsible for specific mRNA codon recognition, and the 3' end, to which the tRNAs corresponding amino acid is attached (by aminoacyl-tRNA synthetases). tRNAs cope with the degeneracy of the genetic code in two manners: having more than one tRNA (with a specific anti-codon) for a particular amino acid; and 'wobble' base-pairing, i.e. permitting non-standard base-pairing at the 3rd anti-codon position.
Source: RNAcentral
GAUUUACAUAGCUAAAUUGGAUAAAGCAUCAAAUUGUUAAUUUGAGUAUUGUAGGUUCGAUUCCUACUGUAAACA